GUAAAGUCGAAUGAUCAACUAGCAGAUAUUUUCACUAAGUCUCUUACUGGUUCUCGUAUUAGUUACAUGUGUAACAAGCUCGGUACAUAUGAUGUGUAUGUACCAGAUUAAAGGGGAGUGUUAGUUUAUAGAUAUGUAUAGUGUAGUCCUAUCCCACAUUGGAAGAGGAGUAAUAUCUCCUUGUAGUGUAUAGCUAUAAAUAGGGACAUCUUGUAUUGUAUUUAUUAUCCAAUAUCAAUAACAUAACUUCUUCCGUGCCUUCUCACAGUAACCUUCUUGCUUCAAAUGUUGAUGAAGAGGUGCUGAAAAAUGCAUGCUAGGCACUUUAUUACCUUUCUGGUGGUGUAGAUAUGACCUCCAAUGGAUAUUGCUCUAGAUUAAAAUUCAUUCCUCAUCCUGGUGUGAGCCGUAGUGAUAUGAUUAAGGCCUUCUUUCAGGCUGAUGUUCUUCCGAUGCUACUUGAUCUCUUCAAUUGAUUGGAAUAUUUUUAUUUUCCUCAUUUAACCUACCUUUUCCUAUCUAACUUACGAUUGUAUAUGAUAUAUACGUCAAUUGAUGUUUUAGAGAACACUUACGUUCCGUAAUCCCCCCUGCCAUCCGUACAGUUAUACGUAUUAGCAAGCUGGGAGAUGAGCACCAGAGAGAGGUACGUGGGUAUAAGGAACUUUCGUGGUUGAACCAAAACACUUUGAUGAACUAACCAAUGAAAAAAGGAACAAACUAAAAUAAAUAAAGUGAUUGAAAGGUAGAAACAUCUUAAACAACAUGUAGUGAGAUUAUAAUUUAGCAUGUUCCUGAUUCAACGUCAAAUUUGAUUUGUUUACCGCCUAAUUUCUAAUAGCCUCCGAAGAACCCACCCAUUUGGUAAAGAUGUCCACCACAAUAUUUUUAAAAAGUCUUCUUACAGUAAGAUUGUUCGACUGAAGGUGUAAAAAUAGGUUAUUUGUCAUCUUCAAGUCAUGGGCAAGUCCACCUCCCAGCUCCAGUGCUGGCCAUCUAGGCUGCAUUCAUUUUUUUGCCUACAUUGUUUUUUAGUUUUUUAUAACUGAUAUUCACUAACUUGGCCUUUUUAGAUCUUGGGACAAAAUUUCUAUGUAUGUAAGCUGGUAAUAAGAAACUUUUUCUUGAUUAAAAGAAGAAAGAAAAGAAAGAAGAAAAACUUGGAGUUGUCUAGAUUUAGGUUGAAAAGCAUCUUCAACACUCAAAAAUUGUGCUUGUAAACUUCAAAAUGGGGCCUUACUUUCCUAGAUAUCUCUAGGCAUUGUCCAUUUUGAGCUCAAAAUGAUGAAAAACAUAUCCCACAAUUGAGCAGUAAUUUUUCAAUGUAGAAAUUGGUGGUUUGUGUCCUCCGGUUGCUCUUCGCAUAGAGAGCAUUUGCUCUCAAUGGGCAUUCCUCUUAUUUGCAAAUUAGACUGUGUGGGACAUGUAUUUUUUCCUACUAACCAAGUGUAGAUCUGAAUUUUGUAAGAUGUUGAUCGGAGCCCGGAGCAUUGCUAAACGUAACGUCCUUGAUUGCCUGUUGGACUUGCUAAAGAGUGGAAUAGAGGAGGAGAUGGUCUGCGCAUCUAUAGCAUACAUUACUAUUGGGAGCACGCAACGGGCAAAUGCUGUAUUUGAUGUUGGAUUAAUAGAACCUCUACGCACACUGGUACAACUAAAAAAAUGGGUAUUGCUGCUGCUGCACUUUCAAUUGCUAUUAACGGUACCAGUGACAUUGCGUACACCAAAGACUUGGUGGAUUGCUGCAUAGAUCCUCUAUGUGAUUAUCUUGGCUUCUCUGUGGUCAUGCAACUUGCGUCAUCAGUCUAAAAGGAGUAGAAAGCAUAUUGAAGUUUGGAAAGCGUAUUGAAGAGGAAUAUGGCGGCACUGGUGGUUAUACUAAGCGGAUCGAAGAGGCUAGGGGUUUGGAAAAGCUUGAAUACUGUCUAAUACUAAAAUUCGAUAUGAGGUUGUUCCAAUAUUGGGUACAUAUUGGUUUUCACUAGGACGUUAUGCUGAGAUGUUGUGUAUGAUUGAGGUUCAGAUCUCUGACGACGGAAAAUGUGAGGACCCAAUGUGGUAUUAGUGAUGUCUUAAAGGAUUAACCUGUUCAUGACCUAUUUUCCAUCUUUAUAUGACAGAGAUGGCGUAUAGUGGAAAGGGAUAACUUUUUGACAAAUUUCUCCAUUAUUAUAUUUAUACAUUUCUACUUCUGCCUUCUUAUAAAUGAAAACUAGUCACCUCAUGAUAAACAUGCUUACCAACUGCAAGGGUACCAUUGGAAUUUAAAUUUUUUGUUUUGUGCUCUAAGGAUUCGUAUUCUUGCAGCAUUCAUGUGUUUUGCUUUGGCUUGAAUGGACGAAAAACUCAAUUUAUUUGCA
Nicotiana tabacum (common tobacco) is the source of this 2360-nucleotide non-coding RNA. NCBI's taxonomy places the organism in Eukaryota, Viridiplantae, Streptophyta, Magnoliopsida, Solanales, Solanaceae. The record is from RefSeq and is a predicted model, not a curated record.